Molecule: long non-coding RNA, 1970 nt
Filed under: Nicotiana tabacum (common tobacco)
Lineage: Eukaryota; Viridiplantae; Streptophyta; Magnoliopsida; Solanales; Solanaceae
Description: long non-coding RNA (NTAB_LNC018966)
Source: RNAcentral
UAAAUUUCACAAUUCACAGCACAGUCCUACUUAUACACACCAUAAUAAAUUGAUUCAUUAUGCUAAUUGAAACAUUUUGAGGACUAAACAUUAUAAAUAUAAAUGAUACUAGACAACAAGAAUAAGACUCAUCAUGGUCAUUCCAUUUCAAAUUCCAAUUCUAGACUUCAAAUACAUUUAGAUGAUGUCCAUAAGGCUGAGUAAUACCUGGAAAUGAGAAUGAAUAAUGGUAAGAUUCAGCAGUAGCAACAGAAAUCAGCACAUAGUAGAACCAAUUGAGAAGUGAAAUCAGCUCAAAUCAGCAAUGAACCAGUAUUUCUAACAACAAAUUUAAACCAGCUUUAAGAAUAUACCCGAAAAACUUUCAAUCAACCAAAAACAUCAAUAGACCAACCAGAAUGUUUCAGCACCAAAAAGUUUUCAGAAAUUAACCAAGAGAAUCCAAUGGAACAUCACUUCUUUAACAGUUCUUUUUUUAUUAUUUUUUUUUUACUUCUGACUCUAUUAAGCUUUCUUUCUAUCUUUGUAAUCUUUCAAUCCUAAAUCUCUUUUGUAUUCUUUCAGAGUUUUUUUUCAGAAUCUUCUUAUAUGAACUCAGUCUAUCUAUGAACUCCUUCCAUCUCUUUUUACUCUAUCUUUUCAAUAUUUCAGAGUCUUCCUAUGUGUAUAUGAACUCAGUGCCUAUCUCUCUCUAUGUGUGUUGAUUUUCAGCCCCUUUAAAUAGGCAUUCAGCUUAGUGCCUUCUCCAUUACCAAUUCACCUUUUCAUUUCUUAAUUGUCCACUUAACCUAGUUAGUGUAAUUCUAAUCCUACCACUAUUGAGAAGCUUCUCAAUUAGGUGAAUACCCUUUUUAUUAAACAAUCUCCAAUAUUACCUUAAGUUUCUAUUUUUAACAAUAUCUUAAGUUCUGAAUUAUCACAAUCUCAACAACAGUAAGUAAAAGAAACUGAGACUUUCAGCUGGAUUGAAAUUCAAUGAAAUUCAAAAAUAGUUGUUAAAUCAUGUUAAACCAUGGAAUUUUCAAAAAUUGUCUUGAAACAGGAGCUAAUGCAGAGGAUAGACUAUCCUUCUAAUCUCAAAGCUUUCAGUUUCAGAAUUAAUUCACAAACAUAAUCAAUGAAACCUAACAGAAGGGGGAAAAUCCUACGAAUUUGAAACCAAAUUACAACCAAACCUUAGGAAACUAAUUGUUAUUAACAAUAAGUUAAAUGAACAUAAAUACCAGAGAAACAAAUUGAACUCCCAAUUCAAGUAAAAAAAAAAUAAACAAAACUCAAUUACAACCUGAAACUAGAAUAAACGAAAUUUAAACCAACUCUAAACUAUCAGUUAAGGCAAGAUUAAAUUACCACAUUUAUUUUAAUCAGAAGCCAAAUUGAGACUAUGAACUAGGAAAUCAUCAAGUCAUUCAGUAAACAGACACACAAAACAUAAUAAGUGAUUAAGCCUAGAAUAGAAUGAACGAACGAAAACAAACACACGAAUUUCUGGCUUGGCAAAAACUUAGUCGAUUUUCGACUGAUUUAAACCAAGAGAAGAAGUGAAGAGAAAAAAAAGAAAGUAAAAAGGAAAGAAUAAACUUACCAAUCUGGUUCGAACUUGACUGACCUUGAUUCGAUCCCCAAAUAGCGUCAAUCGCUUGUUCUUUGCUAAGAACAAACGACCAACGUCAUUUGGAGAUUGAAUCGACAAGAACACUGAAGAGACGUUAGAGGAAAAUCUGUGCAUGCGAAAUUCCGACUGAACUCCUAAAGCUCGAACCCUGAUCCUAAAAUUUGACGAGCUCUGGCCUCAUUCGAAGGGUACAAGGUGGGGGUUUGGAAAGAGGGGAGUGAGGGGGUCAUGGGGUGUCAUUUUGAUGGUGGUUAGAGGGGGUGCCGCCGGGUUUUAGGGCUGUGGAAAAGGGUGGCGGCUAGGGUUUUGGGAGGGGUGUUCUCUGAGUGAGAGAGAUGAGUGACCGAGGGGGUUC